UGGUGGUGGAAGGCGACGACCAGGUGCUGGUAGAGCUCCUGACCGGCAAGGAGACGCAGACGCGGAUACCACUGGCGAUGCAAGAGGAGAUCAUCGAGCUGCUCGAGCACUUCUCGACGUGCCAGGUGCAGCACAUAUACCGCGAGGGCAACCAGGUCGCCCACGUUCUCUGCAAAGAAGCGUAUCAGCGGCCGGGAGUGUGGAAGAGCGGGAUCGUGCCACACGCCGUCUGGGAGAAGGUGCUGGAUGACAUGCAUGGCGUGGCGCACGAGCGGAUCUGCAAGAAGAAGAAGCUGUGGUAGCCAGCCUCGAAGAUGGGUGUCUACCGGCUGCCGGCUGGUGCAAGAGCGUGGUUGAGGGCAAAUUAAUCCUUUGUUUGUAGUUAUAGAUCGGUCAUGUCACGAGGUCUCUACACUUCUACGUAUUACAUCGUUGUACGUUUCAGG
This 446-nucleotide long non-coding RNA is filed under the name Hordeum vulgare. RNAcentral describes it as "long non-coding RNA (HVUL_LNC005535)". The record is from RNAcentral. Lineage: Eukaryota; Viridiplantae; Streptophyta; Magnoliopsida; Poales; Poaceae.